The sequence is a transfer RNA, 83 nucleotides long. It matches the Rfam family "tRNA". Rfam says of the family: Transfer RNA (tRNA) molecules are approximately 80 nucleotides in length. The record is from Rfam.
GCCUGAUUGGCACAGUGGUACUGCGUCGCACUCGUACCGCCCUAGAGAUGCGAAGAUCACUGGUUCGAUUCCAGUAUCAGGCA